GAAUCUGGCAAGAACUUGGUUCUGUGAUCUGUGUGGAACUAGCCGCAUUUGUUGCUUCACAUCACAGUCUGAGUUCUUGCUCGACGG
Molecule: microRNA precursor, 87 nt
Filed under: Anopheles culicifacies
Lineage: Eukaryota; Metazoa; Arthropoda; Insecta; Diptera; Culicidae
Description: microRNA mir-11
Rfam family: mir-11 microRNA precursor family
Source: RNAcentral